GGGCGUGGCGGCGUGCUAUACAUGCAGUCGAGCGAUGAUUAUAGAUAGCUUGCUAUUUUUAUGAAGAGCGGAGAACGGGUGAGUAACGCGUGGGAAAUCUGCCGAGUAGCGCGGGGACAACGUGUUGGAAACGAACGCUAAUACCGCAUAACAAUGAGAAUCGCAUGAUUCUUAUUUAAAAGAAGCAAUUGCUUCACUACUUGAUGAUCCCGCGUUGUAUUACCUAGUUGGUAGUGUAAAGGACUACCAAGGCGAUGAUACGUAGCCGACCUGAGAGGAUGAUCGGCCACACUGGGACUGAUACACAGCCCAAACUCCUACGGGAGGCAACAGUAGGGAAUCUUCGGCAAUGGGGGCAACCCUGACCGAGCAACACCGCGUGAGUGAAGAAGGUUUUCGAAUCGUAAAACUCUGUUGUUAUAUAAUAACGUUAAGUAAAGUGGAAAAUUACUUAUGUGACGGUAUCUAACCAAAAAGGGACGGCUAACUACGUGCCAUACAGCCGCGGUAAUACGUAGGUCCCAAGCGUUGUCCGGAUUUAUUGGACGUAAAGCGAGCGCAGGUGGUUUCUUAAGUCUGAUGUAAAAGGCAGUGGCUCAACCAUUGCGUGCAUUGAAAACUGGGAGACUUGAGUGCAGGAGAGGAGAGUGGAAUUCCAUGUGUAGCGGUGAAAUGCGUAGAUAUAUGGAGGAACACCGGAGGCGAAAGCGGCUCUCUGGCCUGUAACUGACACUGAGGCUCGAAAGCGUGCGGAGCAAACAGGAUUAGAUACCCUGAUAGUCCACGCCGUAAACGAUGAGUGUAUAGCUGUAGGGAGCUAUAAGUUCUCUGUAGCGCAGCUAACGCAUUAAGCACUCCGCCUGGGGAGUACGACCGCAAGGUUGAAACUCAAAGGAAUGGACGGGGGCCCGCACAAGCGGUGGAGCAUGUGGUUUAAUUGGAAGCAACGGGAAGACCCUUCCCAGGUCUGGACAUACUCGUGCUAUCUAGAGAGAUAAGGAGUUCCUUCGGGACAAGGGAUACAGGUGGUGCAUGGUUGUCGUCAGCUGGUGUCGUGAGAUGUGGGGUUAAGUCCCGCAACGAGCGCAACCCUUAUUUUUAGUUGCCAUCAUUAAGUUGGGCACUUUAGAGAGACUGCGGGGGAUAAACCGGAGGAAGGGGGGGAGGACGUCAAAUCAUCAUGCCCCUUAUGACCUGGGCUACACACGUGCUACAAUGGAUGGUACAACGAGUCGCCAAGUCCGCGAGGGUGCGCUAAUCUCUUAAAACCAUUCUCAGUUCGGAUUGCAGGCUGCAACUCGCCUGCAUGAAGUCGGAAUCGCUAGUAAUCGCGGAUCAGCACGCCGCGGUGAAUACGUUCCCGGGCCUUGUACACACCGCCCGUCACACCACGGAAGUUGGACUACCCAAAGUAGGUGCGUAACCGCAAGGAGGCAGCUCCUAAAGAAGACUCGAUAUGGUG
RNAcentral lists this ribosomal RNA (1462 nucleotides) under Lactococcus garvieae. RNAcentral's name for it is "bacterial SSU rRNA". It matches the Rfam family "Bacterial small subunit ribosomal RNA". The record is from RNAcentral. Lineage: Bacteria; Bacillati; Bacillota; Bacilli; Lactobacillales; Streptococcaceae.